RNAcentral lists this ribosomal RNA (470 nucleotides) under Veillonella dispar. RNAcentral describes it as "bacterial SSU rRNA". It matches the Rfam family "Bacterial small subunit ribosomal RNA", at positions 28 to 475 of the family's 1533-position model. The record is from RNAcentral. Lineage: Bacteria; Bacillati; Bacillota; Negativicutes; Veillonellales; Veillonellaceae.
GACGAACGCUGGCGGCGUGCUUAACACAUGCAAGUCGAACGAAGAGCGAUGGAAGCUUGCUUCUAUCAAUCUUAGUGGCGAACGGGUGAGUAACGCGUAAUCAACCUGCCCUUCAGAGGGGGACAACAGUUGGAAACGACUGCUAAUACCGCAUACGAUCUGACCUCGGCAUCGAGGAUGGAUGAAAGGUGGCCUCUAUUUAUAAGCUAUCACUGAAGGAGGGGAUUGCGUCUGAUUAGCUAGUUGGAGGGGUAACGGCCCACCAAGGCGAUGAUCAGUAGCCGGUCUGAGAGGAUGAACGGCCACAUUGGGACUGAGACACGGCCCAGACUCCUACGGGAGGCAGCAGUGGGGAAUCUUCCGCAAUGGACGAAAGUCUGACGGAGCAACGCCGCGUGAGUGAUGACGGCCUUCGGGUUGUAAAGCUCUGUUAAUCGGGACGAAAGGCCUUCUUGCGAAUAGUUAGAAGG